AAGAAUCGCCCCGUUUUUUUCGGAAGACGGGUUCUAUUCCCACAACCGUGUAUACCAUACCUUUGUUGCUUUGGCGAGCCGCCUCUCCGGAGGCGUUGGCUUCGGCUGACUGCGCUCGCCAGAGGACCCAAACUCAAGUUAUUUAUGUUGUCCGAGUAAAUAUAUAAUAUUUA
This 173-nucleotide unclassified non-coding RNA is filed under the name uncultured Hyaloscyphaceae. Its description in RNAcentral is "sequence contains ITS1". The record is from RNAcentral. Lineage: Eukaryota; Fungi; Ascomycota; Leotiomycetes; Helotiales.